RNAcentral lists this ribosomal RNA (563 nucleotides) under uncultured Pseudomonas sp. RNAcentral's name for it is "bacterial SSU rRNA". It matches the Rfam family "Bacterial small subunit ribosomal RNA", at positions 359 to 917 of the family's 1533-position model. Lineage: Bacteria; Pseudomonadati; Pseudomonadota; Gammaproteobacteria; Pseudomonadales; Pseudomonadaceae. The record is from RNAcentral.
CCCGGAUCCUGGGCGCAGCCUGAUCCAGCCAUACCGCGUGGGUGAAGAAGGCCUUCGGGUUGUAAAGCCCUUUUGUUGGGAAAGAAAUCCAGCCGGCUAAUACCUGGUUGGGAUGACGGUACCCAAAGAAUAAGCACCGGCUAACUUCGUGCCAGCAGCCGCGGUAAUACGAAGGGUGCAAGCGUUACUCGGAAUUACUGGGCGUAAAGCGUGCGUAGGUGGUCGUUUAAGUCCGUUGUGAAAGCCCUGGGCUCAACCUGGGAACUGCAGUGGAUACUGGGCGACUAGAGUGUGGUAGAGGGUAGCGGAAUUCCUGGUGUAGCAGUGAAAUGCGUAGAGAUCAGGAGGAACAUCCAUGGCGAAGGCAGCUACCUGGACCAACACUGACACUGAGGCACGAAAGCGUGGGGAGCAAACAGGAUUAGAUACCCUGGUAGUCCACGCCCUAAACGAUGCGAACUGGAUGUUGGGUGCAAUUUGGCACGCAGUAUCGAAGCUAACGCGUUAAGUUCGCCGCCUGGGGAGUACGGUCGCAAGACUGAAACUCAAAGGAAUUUGACGGA